This is a non-coding RNA of Geotrichum candidum, 73 nucleotides long. NCBI's taxonomy places the organism in Eukaryota, Fungi, Ascomycota, Dipodascomycetes, Dipodascales, Dipodascaceae. The record is from the annotation of a GenBank genome assembly.
GGCCGAGUGGUUUAAGGCGGCAGACUUAAGAUCUGCUAUUCGUAAGAAUGCGCGGGUUCGAACCCCGUUCCCG